This 908-nucleotide ribosomal RNA is filed under the name uncultured archaeon. RNAcentral describes it as "bacterial SSU rRNA". It matches the Rfam family "Archaeal small subunit ribosomal RNA", at positions 1 to 920 of the family's 1478-position model. The record is from RNAcentral.
UUCCGGUUGAUCCUGCCGGAGGCCACCGCUAUUGGAAUCCGAUUAAGACAUGUGAGUCGAGAGUCUUCGGGACUCGGCAGACGGCUCAGUAACACGCGGAUAAUCUGCCCUUGGGUGGGGAAUAAUCUCGGGAAACUGAGCAUAAUACCCCAUAGGCCUGAGAUGCUGGAACGCCCUCAGGCUAAAAGCUACGGCGCCCAAGGAUGAGUCUGCGGCCUAUCAGCUUGUAGUUGGUGUAAAUGACCAACUAGGCGACGACGGGUACGGGCAUUGGGAGAUGUAGCCCGGAGAUGGACUCUGAGACACGAGUCCAGGCCCUACGGGGCGCAGCAGUCGCGAAAACUUCACAAUGUGGGAAACCGCGAUGAGGGGAUUCCAAGUGCUUGCGUUUUGCGUAAGCUGUUCUCCUGCCUAAAAAGCAGGGGGGGUAAGGGCUGGGUAAGACGGGUGCCAGCCGCCGCGGUAAUACCCGCAGCCCAAGUGGUGGUCGAUAUUAUUGAGCUUAAAGCGUCCGUAGCCUGUCUGGUAAAUUCUUGGGUAAAUCGUGCAGCUUAACUGUCCGAAUUCCGGGGAGACUGCCAGACUUGGGACCGGGAGAGGUUGGAGGUACUCCUGGGGUAGGGGUAAAAUCCCGUAAUCCUGGGAGGACCAUCAGUGGCGAAAGCGUCCAACUGGAACGGAUCCGACGGUCAGGGACGAAGCCCUGGGUCGCGAACUGGAUUAGAUACCCAGGUAGUCCAGGGUGUAAACGCUGCAGACUUGGUGUCGGAGGUCCUACGAGGGCGUCCGGUGCCGGAGAGAAAUUGUUAAGUCUGCCGCUUGGGGAGUACGUCCGCAAGGAUGAAACUUAAAGGAAUUGGCGGGAGAGCACGCACGGGAGGAGCGUGCGGUCAAUUGGAAUCACGCGA